GGGAUAACAUUUGGAAACAGAUGCUAAUACCGCAUAGAUCCAAGAACCGCAUGGUUCUUGGCUGAAAGAUGGCGUAAGCUAUCGCUUUUGGAUGGACCCGCGGCGUAUUAGCUAGUUGGUGAGGUAACGGCUCACCAAGGCGAUGAUACGUAGCCGAACUGAGAGGUUGAUCGGCCACAUUGGGACUGAGACACGGCCCAAACUCCUACGGGAGGCAGCAGUAGGGAAUCUUCCACAAUGGACGCAAGUCUGAUG
Molecule: ribosomal RNA, 255 nt
Filed under: Lacticaseibacillus paracasei
Lineage: Bacteria; Bacillati; Bacillota; Bacilli; Lactobacillales; Lactobacillaceae
Description: partial 16S ribosomal RNA
Rfam family: Bacterial small subunit ribosomal RNA
Source: RNAcentral